AGAGUUUGAUCCUGGCUCAGAACGAACGCUGGCGGCAUGGUUUACGCAUGCAAGUCGAGGGAAUCCGCCGGAGGGUGGGGAACCGGCGUAAGGGGCAAUAGGGGAUGGGUACCUACCCCGGGGUUCGGAAUAGCCACCUAACAUGGUGGGUAUUACCGGAUGACCUCAUGUGAGCUGAGAUUUAUCGCCCUGGGUGGGGCCCCUGUGAUAUUAGCUAGUUGGUGAGGUAACGGCUCACCAAGGCUAAGAUGUCUAGCGGGCGUGAGAGCAAUACCCGCGCCACUCGCACUGACAACCUGGCGAGACGCCUACGGGUGGCUGCCCACAAGGAUCUUCGGGGAUGGGGGGAACCCUGACCGACCGAGGCCGCGUGCGCGAUCAAGGCCUUCCGGUUGUAAAGCGCGAGACAUGGGAGAAAAGCCCUAAAGGGUUUGAUCUAUCCUCAGUAUGCUCGGGCUAUGUUCGGGCCGACAGCCGCGGUAAAACAAACCCAGCGAACCUUGUUCCGAAUCACUGGGCUUAAACGGCGCGUACGCGGGCUGCCCAGUCUGGCUGGACAUCCCGCGGCUCAACCGUGGAACUGCCUCAGAUACUGGCGUCCUCGAGGGAGAUAGGGGCGAUCGGAUCUAAUGUGGGAGCGUAGAGAUGCGUUGAUAUCAUUAGAAACUCCCGUGGCGAAGGCAGCUCGCUGGAUCUGUUCUGACGCUGAGGUGCGAAAGCUAGGGCAGCGAAUCGAAUCAGAUACUCCUGUAGUACUAGGCCUAAACGUUGGGGUGCUAAGAUGUACGGCUAAACAUGCG
Molecule: ribosomal RNA, 800 nt
Filed under: uncultured bacterium
Lineage: Bacteria
Description: bacterial SSU rRNA
Rfam family: Bacterial small subunit ribosomal RNA
Source: RNAcentral